This 200-nucleotide ribosomal RNA is filed under the name uncultured bacterium. RNAcentral's name for it is "partial 16S ribosomal RNA". It matches the Rfam family "Bacterial small subunit ribosomal RNA", at positions 335 to 526 of the family's 1533-position model. The record is from RNAcentral.
AUUCCUACGGGAGGCAGCAGUGGGGAAUAUUGCACAAUGGGCGCAAGCCUGAUGCAGCCAUGCCGCGUGUGUGAAGAAGGCCUUCGGGUUGUAAAGCACUUUCAGCGGGGAGGAAGGGUCACUAGUUAAUACCUAGUGGCAUUGACGUUACUCGCAGAAGAAGCACCGGCUAACUCCGUGCCAGCAGCCGCGGUAAUAAU